Strongylocentrotus purpuratus (purple sea urchin) is the source of this 1621-nucleotide long non-coding RNA. RefSeq lists it as uncharacterized. NCBI's taxonomy places the organism in Eukaryota, Metazoa, Echinodermata, Echinoidea, Camarodonta, Strongylocentrotidae. The transcript is spliced from 2 exons. The record is from RefSeq and is a predicted model, not a curated record.
GCAUUUCCACGGUAAUAGGGUACUUCUGUGUGUGAAAGAAUAAAGCGCUUACAGAAAAAUUAAAUAAAUAUCCUGUGGCUUUCUGUGUUUUUAUUUUCAUUGUUGAUGGUAUAAAGAAAUAAAAAAGACAAUUCCAUGCACUAAUAAUGUCAUUUGGUUGUGUUGUCCUCUUUUCUUUAAUGAUUAUUAUUAAAAAUUCCAAAGUACAAUCAGUAAAUGUUGAGUGGUGUGAUUUUGAGGGUGAUGCAAAUAAAAAUUCUAAAAAGAAAUUGAUGUUUCAUGUUUUGAAAAGAGAUUUUGAUGCGGGUGGAUUACGGCAUUGAUCAUAGUUACGGCGAUUGAGCUUUAAAGAGAGAGAGUGAGAGAGUUGAAAAUUACAUUGGCUGAAUGAGAGAUUCUGUCCACCUGUGUUACGUACGUUCAGAGUGAAUUUUCCCACAAUUAUUAGUUGUGUCACCCAACAGUUUUAUGUGCUUUGCAACUCUUUUGAUGAAGGUUGAAAUGUAGACCAAGAAAAAAAUUGUCAAAAUAAACGCAAAUAGAGAUAAAAUCUAUUCAAAAUUUGGAGUGCAAUAUUCGGUCCAACUCACGAACGUACGUAACAACUAAAAAAACGGACCGUGGCGUCCGCGAAUAUGACGCAUGGAUAAUCCACGUAUCAGUCAAGUGAACCAAGGCACUGCAACGUUUGAUUGUACUUGCAAUCCAUGCGCUGACUUCUACAAUCGCGGGGCCGUGUAGCUCUAUAUAACUUCUGUCCAGUUUGUGCGUACGUUCACGGUUGCUGGUAGUUAGAACGACACGUACGCACGAUGGACAGAAAUGCUAUUCGGUCUUAUUUACGUACGUUUUUUCGCGGGGUUUCGUGAGCAGCAGACGACAUCCGAUCGUAAUCAUUGGAGUAUCAACUCAACAUUAGAUUAGAUCUAGGCUUUGAAAAUCGUGGAAUGGUGAAAGAUGUUGUGGGAGAAGAUCUUGUCAUCAAGUACAUGGCCAAGUCGGAGUCUCAUCCGGGGCUAUUUAUAUGGCCAGCACGUGAGGAUGUGUCUCGGGAAUGUAGAAAACAGAUAGUGAAGAAAAUGCCUAACCCUGUCCUUCGGGAAGACAUCAGCAGCACUAGAUUACAAUUUUUCACCUUUGCAGAACUCUCCCCAGAAUCAUGACUUGCUCCAUACAAUUUAUGAAUGUCUUAUUACUCAUAGAUUGGUUAAUAAUGAAUCGAGUCAUUCCAACUUCUUCAGAGAACUUGUGUAAAGUCCAGCACACCCGAUAUCGUCCCAAACCAUCGGUUUUAAAAUCCUUACAAUAUUCUCUGACUCUCGUGUAAGAGGAAAACCUAGAACUGCGUGUAUUGAUGUUAAAAAGGAGACAUGAUUAAAUGGCUGGAUCGUGCUAAUUUAUUGUUCUCACGUUGUACUUCAGUAAGGUUUUAAUCACCUCAAUAGACUUGUGUGUUAUGAAAACAAAUAAAAUUCAUGGAAAAUUGGCACAAAGACACAAUUAUUUACUGAAAAUAUUUAAUGAAUGCUCAAUUGAAUUGAUGCAUUAUAAUAUGCAAAAUAACCCAUUGAGUAUGCAGUGUCAAAUCUUUUUUGAAUUUCAGAUCUGAAUUACAUCAAAA